AGUGAACGCUGGCGGCAGGCCUAACACAUGCAAGUCGAACGGCAGCGGGUCAGUAGCAAUACUGAUGCCGGCGAGUGGCGGACGGGUGAGGAAUACAUCGGAAUCUACCUUGUCGUGGGGGAUAACGUAGGGAAACUUACGCUAAUACCGCAUACGAACUACGGUUGAAAGCGGCGGACUCGCAAGAGCGUCGCGCGAUUGGAUGAGCCGAUGUCCGAUUAGCUAGUUGGCGGGGUAAAAGCCCACCAAGGCGACGAUCGGUAGCUGGUCUGAGAGGAUGAUCAGCCACACUGGAACUGAGACACGGUCCAGACUCCUACGGGAGGCAGCAGUGGGGAAUAUUGGACAAUGGGCGAAAGCCUGAUCCAGCCAUGCCGCGUGUGUGAAGAAGGUCUUCGGAUUGUAAAGCACUUUUGUUCGGGAAGAAAAGCCGCCGGUUAAUACCUGGUGGUCAUGACGGUACCGAAAGAAUAAGCACCGGCUAACUUCGUGC
RNAcentral lists this ribosomal RNA (493 nucleotides) under uncultured bacterium. Its description in RNAcentral is "bacterial SSU rRNA". It matches the Rfam family "Bacterial small subunit ribosomal RNA", at positions 29 to 508 of the family's 1533-position model. The record is from RNAcentral.